Molecule: non-coding RNA, 86 nt
Organism: Chiua virens
Lineage: Eukaryota; Fungi; Basidiomycota; Agaricomycetes; Boletales; Boletaceae
Source: the annotation of a GenBank genome assembly
GAACCCGUGGCGCAGUGGUAGCGCGUAUGAUUCCAGCUCGCUUGAGUGACUCCAUAAGGUCAUCCGUUCAAUCCGGGUCGGGUUCA